AUAUAUAUAUAUAUAUAUAUAUAUAUAUGGUAUAGAGUUGUAAAACUAAAAAACUAAGUUGGGUCUAGAGACUUCUUUCUCUACCCAUCUUUCAUAACCACUUGGUCUGCUAAUCUAUGAGCAUUCUCUUCUUCUCUGUAAACAGAUAAGCCUUCUAUGCUUAUUCAUAGUCUUGGUUUCCUUGAAUUUUCAGCUUUGCCCAGGUCCCAACUUGGCUCCCCUGGCCUCUCACUACGUCAGUUCCUAACUGCCGGUUACACCAUUCUUUCUGGGCUUAUUUCCUGCUCUCUACAGGAAUCUGAUUCCCUGAGCUCAGAUUCAUGAGCCAGGCCAAACCACAGAGUAUUGGCAACCCUAAGGAUUAGCUGCCCUUGAUUCUGCCUAGUGGAGGCACCUCAUGCACAGUGUGUGCCCCUUGCACAGACACUCUGGAUGAGCCCAUUGCUCUCAGAAGGCAGGUGUGGGGUCCCUCUUACUAUUUCUCAAUAGGAUUCUUUUUUUUUUUCUAACUUGUGCUUUGGGAAAUACCAUUCACCUUGAAAUUCAGUGUAAGGAUAUUGUUGAGACAUUAUUUAUUGCACUAUACAGUGCCCUUUUUGUGAAAACCCUUGGCAUAAAUUCAUUUCUAGCUUUGGUAUUGGAAAUAAUUGUGCAAUUAUUCCUGAACCGGUUUGUUUUUAUCUUAUUAACUCUGGUGAAGUUAUUACUUCUUUUCCUAAAUUGGCUGUUGGGAUUUCACAAAUCUGUAGCCCAAACAAGGGAAGUUUAAAUGACUCUAUGGUAUACUUUUUAUUUUUAUUAUCAAUCUUACAUUGAGAUUCAUUUUCUGCUUUUGACUUGGUUUAUUCAUAUAUUUCUAAUUCAAAUCACAUUUUAUAUACCUCUGUAAGUUACUGUACAUCUUUACAGAAGCAAGAUAUAUAGGUAAAUUAUAUAAACUUUAACACACUCAGGGACAUGUUAAAGUUCCUGGCUAGUUUUUAGUUAAAUGUGACCUAAUUUUAAAGAAAGGAAGAACUAAUUUGAGAAUAUUAAUAUAUCACAUUUUUCUAUAUUUAUGUAAUUUUAAAACCAUCCAGAUGUGCUUUUUUUCUAAAAUAUAAAAAUCCCUUUGGGCUUAGAAGUAUCUUUCAAAUAAAGUUUGAGAUAGAAAAGAUCCUAUUACACAUUAAUCUGCUUUUGGCGCUCAUUAACUCUUUGUAACAUCGUUUUUGAGAAGGUAGAUGCGUAAUAAAAUUAAUACACGUUUAAAAUUGUUUUCCCGUGAACCCUGUUUCAAAACAGCAGCCUCUACCCUCCAACAAUAACAUAUUCCUAAAAUUAUUUCCUUUUUCUCCCAGACUUUACUUCUCAACUACUCCUUUAAAAAAAGAAAAGAAAAGAAAAAGAAACUGACAUCAAUUUUAUAUAAAAGAAGCCCUUGAGGUGGAAAGUGAGGGAAGGCUGCAUGAGUUUAUAGCAGACAAAAUGUCGCUUACAUUUUGCUGUUCAGUAGUUUGAUAUACUCAUUUGCUGAUGUGAAAUGACGAGGGCUUACAAAACAGGGUUUUGUUUUUUAGCUGCCUGUAGACCUGGUGGGGCCUAACAGAACCCAGUCAGCAGGUCAUUAACUCUGGAGAAAACAGCUUGCAUUAAUAUGCUCUAAUCCGGUAUAAUUAGUCAAAUUACUGCACGCCGACCAGCUUGUCAUGUGUUGUCAGACUUGGCAUGCACGCUGGAUUGCCUGGGUCCCUCUGGAAUGCCACCCUCAAUCAGGGAAAGCUGCUCAUUUGUAGUGGUCUUGAACUCUUGAUAGAAAAGCUAACUAAAACAGCGGUCGUGGAGGAACUUUUAUUAAUUCUUUGAGUUAAAAUAUUUUUUCAUCAAAAGUAAUUUAACGUUUUGGUGAUUGAAAUGGCAUCUUUUCAUUUCUCCUGUUUUCUGUGGCAUGUCUAUGUAAUACUCAAGUGAAAUUAACAUUCGUAGCGGAAAAAAAAAAAAGAUUCGAAAUAAAGUAAUUAUCAGUUGGUCAGCUCUAGUUCCAGUAUAUGAGAGUGUGAGUUCGUAUGUGUUUGUGUGUGUGCGGGUCUUUUUCCAGUAGGGUAAGAGGUUAUUAAACUCCAAAAGGGCUAUAUUAGCAUAAAUUUACAAGAGCUCUUGUUCUGGCGGCAGGAUAAAAACCUGUGUUACCUUUGCAUUAACACUGAAUUGCUUGUUGUGCUUUUGGCAAUGACAGAUAAGUCAGUGUAAUUCCCCAUUGCAACGGAAAUGAUGCUCCAGAUUCUAAACGCAUCCUGAAGAUGUCACUGACAAUAAUCUUCAAAGAACGGCCAGUGAAAGUGGGCUGUAUGUUUGUAGGAUGAUAUACUGCAAAUGACAGGAAGAAUUAUGUGAGUGAAGACGAAUCUGUAACAUAUUAUUAAGCAAUUUCACGAGAAUAACAGGGAUAAAAGGAUAAUGGAUGAGGGUGUCAUUAUUACCUUCAUGUAGAGGGAAAGCAAAAGCAAAGGUAGAGAGACAAGAUUAAUUGAGGUAGGGUGAAGCAUUCAUUGCUCAUCAGCUCUUUUGUACGCUUUGCUCCUGAAAUUCCAGACUGGGUGGGGGCGGGGGGGUGGGGGAGAAAGGUGCUCAGAGCUGCAUUUUAAUGCAGCUGGCAAGGAGGAGGAAACUGACAAGGCACUUUUUAGUCCCCUCCCCUCUUAUCAAAAAACACAAAAUCACUAUCACCUUUUGAAUGUUCUGAAGCCACGACAAAAAUCCAGCAGAACUGUUUUUCUUCUUUUGGUGGUGGUUUUCAUUAUUAGUCACACCUUAAAAAAGAAAACUUACAAAAUUUUUAAAUGCAUUUUUCCACGUAUUGCCCCCAAAACUUGCUCUUUGAAAUUUAGAGAUUUCGCAUUCAGUGAUGAAGCAUUUCACAAUCCAUUAGAUUAUUAUUUUGGUUAUCCUAAAAUCAUUAGGUUAAGGAAACAAAGCAUUUUAUGAUCAAUUUUGACUGUGCCUUUCGUAUUCUGAGCACAUUUCCCUUGCAUAUAAUAUGUUUUUCUUAGGUAGUAGUAAAUGUGCUUACCUUCAUUAAAUGAAGGUGUGAUUAAAAAUUUUAAAUACUAAAGUCUUCCUCUAUCAUCUGUUUUUUGUAACUUCUCAUCUGGCCAAUUAUUCCAAAGCUACAUUAUAUCCCACGCAGUUAAGGUGCAAUUAUAGUAUAGCAACCACUGUCCUUCUGGUUGCAAAACAGUAGCACAGGUGUUUUGCUGGAAUCUAAGAAACCUUUUGGGACAUGAAUUCCCCUCCUGAUUGUAAUUUACACCUCCUACUGAGUUAACCUUCGAUGUUGCAGAAACUUCAAAAAUAUUUGUGUGUGUGUGUGUGUGUCCUAUAGGAAGGUCAGAUGAUCAAGGUACAUGCUUAAAUCUGUAUCCAGUGGAGGUACUCAGAGUUGAAGACUACUUGUCUACAUAAUGGGUUCAUAUAUUCAGGAAAGGUAACAAAGGGUCGGGAUUCGGGUGUCAGUGAGAAUUGAGAAUUUUUCAGCGUUAAUAUGCAGCUAGCAACCAGCAGUUUAAUGUAUACAUACAUAUAAAGACAUGCAAAGCAGUGCUGUUAUCAAAUGCUAGACGUAUAUACUAUCCAGUAAUACUAAGUUUUUAUUGUAUAGUAAUUUUCAAACUGUGUUCUAUACACCUCUUCAUAUUUGAUCCUUGAAUGGUCAUUUUGGAUGAGCAGAACUAGAAUUCCUAUUUCAGCUCUUCAAAUGGGAAAACUGAGGGGCAGAAAAUUAAGUGAGUUUGUCCAAGUAAUUCCAUCUGCUACGAAUAAUACCGACAUCUUCAGACACCUGAUCCAGUGUUCUUUCCAUUCGCUAUUUGAUUUUUAAAUUUGUUAUUCAUGCCACACUCUGAUCUUUGAUAUUUUACUACUUUUCACGUAUGUCUUUCUGCCUUAAAUGUUUCUUCACUAAGAGAGCGUCCUGUGCCUUGUGUUUUCCAUGGACUGAGAAACAGAAACUAACAUUUCUCAUGUUCGUGAUGUGUACCAGACGUGGUAUUAGACACUACACGUUAUACAUUAUCUAAGUUAAUAUUCACAAACAGCCAAGGAAGUUAGAUAUCGUAUCACUUAACUAAAGAGGAAACUAAAAUUCAGACAUGUCAAGCCACUUGUCGAAGCUCACAACCAGGCAAUGUCAGGGAUUCACAUCUACAUUUUCCUGGCUCCAAAGCUCGUGGUCUUUCAAACACCAUCCAGCCGUUUUCUCUUGUCUGUACUAUAUGGUAUAUGUGCAAUCAAAAGUUUACUGUCUUUUUGCAUUGAUCCCAUAUUUUAGGUCUCCGAGUGUCUACAUUCCGUGGCUUUUUUUCCAUCCUGGCAUUCCCUGAUUUCUGCAUAGCAUUUGACACUGAGUUUCCAAAAUCCCCAAUAGCUAUGCCACUAAUUCACUGGCCCUGAAGUCUUUUUCACCGGCUGUUCUUCCUUCUGCUGUGCCCUCUUGAUAUAGAUUCUCCCAUUCUCAAAGGUGUGUUUUUUCCACCUCCUGGAUUCUCUGCCACAGAGAUCGAAUCUCUUGCCAUGCCUUCAGCUUUCUCUCUGUAUACAUGAUGCCAAACAUCUUGCAAUCACGCCUUCUCUGCACAGCUCCAUUUUCUUAGCUACCUGCUCUGCUGAACAGCCCUCUGAGGAUGCUUUGUGGCCUCAAACCAAACUCAGCAUUUUCCUUUUCUUCUCAAAUUUCCUCUUCCUUAUUUUAAAAGAGACCAUGUUCUUCUCAUCAUCCAGGCCUUCUUGCCAAUUUGAAUUAGUUAGAAGUUUUUUAACCUGACAUUAAAAUCUCUCCUUCCUCUUUAGACUGCUGGAGU
Long non-coding RNA from Acinonyx jubatus (cheetah), 4835 nucleotides. RefSeq lists it as uncharacterized. The record is from RefSeq and is a predicted model, not a curated record. The transcript has 2 exons. NCBI's taxonomy places the organism in Eukaryota, Metazoa, Chordata, Mammalia, Carnivora, Felidae.